GGGCGUGUAGCUCAGCUGGUAGAGCAGUUGACUCUUAAUCAAUUGGUCGGGGGUUCGAUCCCUCCCACGCCCACCA
Molecule: transfer RNA, 76 nt
Filed under: Desulfococcus sp. 4484_242
Lineage: Bacteria; Pseudomonadati; Thermodesulfobacteriota; Desulfobacteria; Desulfobacterales; Desulfococcaceae
Also listed under: 8 other names
Description: tRNA-Lys
Rfam family: tRNA
About the family: Transfer RNA (tRNA) molecules are approximately 80 nucleotides in length.
Source: RNAcentral